RNAcentral lists this ribosomal RNA (243 nucleotides) under uncultured bacterium. RNAcentral describes it as "partial 16S ribosomal RNA". It matches the Rfam family "Bacterial small subunit ribosomal RNA", at positions 93 to 339 of the family's 1533-position model. The record is from RNAcentral.
GAGUGGCGAACGGGUGAGUAAUGCAUCGGAACGUGCCCAGUAGUGGGGAACAACCAGUCGAAAGACUGGCUAAUACCGCAUACGAUCUAUGGAUGAAAGCGGGGGACCUUCGGGCCUCGCGCGAUUGGAGCGGCCGAUGUUAGAUUAGGUAGUUGGUGGGGUAAAGGCUCACCAAGCCGACGAUCUAUAGCUGGUCUGAGAGGACGACCAGCCACACUGGAACUGAGACACGGUCCAGACUCC